Daphnia magna is the source of this 314-nucleotide long non-coding RNA. RefSeq lists it as uncharacterized. The record is from RefSeq and is a predicted model, not a curated record. Lineage: Eukaryota; Metazoa; Arthropoda; Branchiopoda; Diplostraca; Daphniidae. The transcript has 3 exons.
UGAGCUCCCGGAGCUGGGCUCCGUUAGAGGAGUUCCCUGGUUUUCCUAGAGGUCUUCAGACGCUUCUUCAACUUUUGGUUGUUGCCAGGUAACGCAACACCGCCAUAGGAGGUAUUCAAGUUUACAGGCCUUAACCAUUAAGUAGGCCUUGACACCAUUUACCGGGGCAUGGACUAUUAUAACUUAAAAAAUAGGGAAAUUGGGCGGCCCGCUGGUGCCAUCUAGGAGCCAAAAUCAUAACCCAUUGCCUGUUUGUAUCCACAAUUUCAAAAUGAUCAUUACCAUAAUUUUCGAUGGUUCACAAAUAAAUGUUC